UUUAUUAAUAUCUAUAUAUCAUAAUCAGUUAGGUCGUCAGUUGCGUAAAGAUAAAAGAUACACAUAUAUACAACAUGUGGAAAAGUGAUUGAACUUAGCUCCACCGGAAAAACUUCAACUUACGAACGCUCUCUGUAACGCUCCCCCCUCCCAACGGUCAAGAAAUUUCCAGAUCCAGCCUUAGCUGGCGAAUUCCCGGCGCCAACGACCACCUCCUCUAACAGGUUAUCCCCCUCCUGCAUCUCCCUCCCUCUCCUCCUUCCCCUCUCACUUCUCAUAUUGUUGUUUUACGAAUAGGAAAGAAAAUUAAAAUCAUAAGCUCUGUGAAGCAAACGUUGCUAAGCCAAUAAUAGACUAUUAUUUUGAAUUAAACCUAGUUUUUCAUUCAACGUAGUUGAUGUUUUAUACACACCUGAUUCAAAGUUUUCAACUUUUGAGCUUUGUGAUUUUUGACUUUGAGGUUCCCAGAUCCCCCUCUUUAGUCUCGGGUCCCCAUAUCUAUUUUUUCUUUUAUUUUAUUUUUAGUAUUUUUUUCACCAGAGUUGUUCGAUUCAGUCACAGAGUUCGUGAAAUUAAGCUUUUCUCUAUCUCAAUUUUGCUGUUAUCCCUUCAUUCCCCUCGCAUUUUACUACUUAUCUCUUUUUGCUACGCGUGGGGGCUCAUCAGUGGUAGCGGUGACAACCCCUCCCUGCUUUGUUUGGAUUCGUGGUGUUUUGUGUGUAUUUCAGGUUAGGACUUGUGGCUGUUAGCGGCGAACAGGAUGUGUGUGUGCAAACAUUAACGAACAAUCCGAGCGCGUGACAGCAAGGGGCGGCAGGAGUUGGACGCGAACGCGCUAGGUGGCAAUAUCAUCGUCGUAUAUAACAAGACAAUCCCCAGGUUCUACUCGUAGGAGUUGGUACCUCCCAUUUUCCUAUUUUCUGUUGUUGUGUUAGUUAAAUUAGUGCCAUCUUAGUUUGUAUUAGUAUAUUCAACGUAUUAGUGUGCCUACAGUUGCAACUUAUCUUCUUCUAUUUUGGUCUGUUGCCUUGUGUGUGUUAGUGAUUCCCCUUAGUCUGUCAUAGGUAUUUGUGGCUAUGGUCUGGGAUGGUCGAGUGAGGUCAUGUCCUCGGGGGGAAUAGGGGGUGGGGCAGGAGGCAGGGCAGGGGUUAGGGGAUGGGUGGGGAAGCAAGGGAGGUAAAGGGAACAAGGGUGUCUAUAGAUUGAGAAUUGGGUAAUGGAACGUAGGUACAUUGACGGGUAAGUCUAUAGAACUGGCAAAUAUCCUCCAAAAGAGGAGGAUCAAUAUAGCGUGUGUCCAGGAGACAAGGUGGGUAGGGUCGAGGGCGAAGGACGCGGAUGGGUAUAAGCUUUGGUACUCAGGAGUCCAAAGAGGUAAGAAUGGAGUGGGUAUCUUGGUGGAUAAGGAACUUAGAGAGUCUGUGGCUGAGGUUAGACAAGUGAAUGAUAGAUUAAUGAGUAUUAAGUUGGUGGUCAGAGAGUGCACCAUAAACAUCGUUAGCGCCUAUGCGCCUCAUGCGGGUCUAGAUGAGGAGGUUAAACAACGCUUUUGGGAGGGGUUAGAUGAGAUUGUGCACCACGUUCCGCCUGCUGAGCAGCUAUUCAUAGGAGGGGAUUUCAAUGGUCAUAUUGGGUCGACCAUAGGUGGUUAUGGCGAGGUGCAUGGAGGCUUCGGUUUUGGGGAGAGGAAUGGAUGCGGUACCUCACUUUUGGACUUCGCUAAGGCUUUUGGGUUGGUGAUUGCGAACUCUAGCUUCCCGAAGAGAGAGGCGCAUUUGGUUACUUUUCAAAAUGCGAUGGCAAAGACUCAUAUUGACUAUCUCCUCCUCAGGAGGUGUGAUGGAGGGUUGUGGAAGGAUUGCAAGGUGAUUCCGGAUGAGAUACUCGUGACACCGCAUAGGUUAUUAGUGAUGGACAUUGGUAUUAUGUUAAAGAAGAGAAAAAGGUCUGCUCGAGGAAGACUGAGGAUCAUGUGGGGAGCCUUAACUAAGGAUAAAGCCCAAGAGUUGGAGGGGCGGUUGUCGGCUAUGGGAGCUUGGAGGAGCAGUGGCGACGCAAGCACUAUGUGGUCAGCGACAUCCGAAUGUAUAAAGGAGGCUGCGAGAGAGGUGUUAGGGGUCUCGACGGGCAUCUCUGAUGGGCACAAAGGAGACUGGUGGUGGAAUGAAGUGGUCCAAGGUAAAGUGGAAGCGAAGACGGCGGCGUACCUAAAGUUAGUGGGGAGCAUAGGUGAGAAGGAAAGGUGAGCAUGCAUAAAAAUGUAUAGGGUAGCUAGGAAGGAAGCUAAGAUGGAGGUCACGAAGGCUAAAACUACGGCUUAUGGUCGUAUGUAUGAGGAACUAGGGAAAAAAGGCGGGGAGAAAAAGUUAUUCUGGUUGGCUAAGCUGAGAGAGAGGAAGGCUCGGGAUUUGGACCAAGUGAGAUGUAUCAAGGAUGAAGAUGGUAGAGUUUUGAUGGAGGAUGUGCAGAUUAAGAGAAGAUGGCAGAUUUAUUUUCAUAAACUUCUGAAUGAAGAAGGGGAUCGGGAUAUUGUACUAGACGAAUUGGAACAUUCUGAGAGUCACCGUGACUCUGGGUAUUGCGGGUGUAUCAAGGUUGAUGAGGUCAUAGAAGUUGUGCGUAAGAUGAGUAGGGGUAGAGCGACCGGGCCAGACGAGAUUCUGGUGCAAUUUUGGAAGAGCGUGGGGAGAGCAGGUUUGGAGUGGUUGACUGGGUUGUUCAAUGUUAUUUUUAAGGCGAAGAGGAUGCCAGAGGAGUGGAGGUGGAGUACGGUAGUUCCAUUGUAUAAGAAUAAAGGUAAUAUCCAGAGUUGUAACAACUAUAGGGGUAUCAAAUUACUGAGCCAUACCAUGAAAGUAUGGGAGAGGGUGGUUGAAGCAAGGGUGAGGAAGGCAGUGUCUAUAUCUGACAACCAGUUCGGAUUCAUAUCGGGUCAUUCGACUACAGAAGCUAUACACCUUGUUCGGAGGUUGGUGGAAAUGUAUAGAGAGAGGAAGAAGGAUCUGCACAUGGUAUUUAUUGACCUGGAGAAAGCAUAUGACAAGGUUCCUAGAGAAGUUCUCUGGAGAUGCUUGGAGGCAAAAGGUGUGUCAGUACCGUACAUUAUGGCGAUCAAGGAUAUGUAUGAUAGGGCUAAAACUCAGGUUAGGACAGUAGGAGGAGACUCUGAACAUUUUCCGGUUGUAAUGGGGUUACACCAAGGUUCUGCACUCAGUCCGUUCUUAUUCUCCUUGGUGAUGGACACGUUAACGCACCAUAUUCAAGGGGAGGUGCCAUGGUGCAUGCUAUUCGCCGAUGACAUAGUUCUGAUUGAUGAGUCGUGAGCCAGUCUUAAUGAGAGGCUAGAGGUUUGGAGACAAGCUCUUGAGUCUAAGGGUUUCAAGAUGAGCAGGACAAAGAUGGAAUACUUGGAGUGUAAGUUCAGCGCUGAGCCGGGAGAAGUGGACGUGGAUGUGAGGCUUGAAUCACAGAUCAUCCCAAAUAGAGGAAGCUUCAAGUACCUUGGGUCGAUUAUCCGGGGGAGAGGGGAGAUAGACGAGGAUGUCACACAUCGUAUUGGGAUACGAUGGAUGAAGUGGAGGUUAGCAUCUGGAGUCUUGUGUGACAAGAGAGUGUCACCGAUUUUCUAAGGUAAGUUCUAUAAAGCGAUGGUUAGACCGGCAAUGAUGUAUGGGGCUGAGUGUUGGCCUGUUAAGAAUUCAAAUACCCAAAAGAUGAGAGUAGCAGAAAUGAGGAUGCUGAGGUAGAUGUGCGGACACACUAGGAUGGAUAAGAUUAGGAAUGAUGAUAUUCGGGAGAAGGUACACGUGGCUCCCAUUGAGGACAAGAUGUGGGAAGCGAGGCUCAGAUGGUUUGGGCAUGUUCAGAGGAGAAGUCCAGAUGUUCCGGUAAGGAGGUGCGAGCGGCUAGAAGUGGAGGGGAAUAGAAGAGGUAGAGGGCGGCCUAAGAAGUAUUGGGGAGAGGUGAUCAGACAUGAUAUGGCAAGGCUUCAAAUUUCUGAGGACAUGACACUUGAUAGGAAGUUGUGGAGGUCGAGUAUUAAGGUUGUAGGCUAGAAGGUAGUUGAGUCUUGCCUUACUUAUACCUUUGCGAGACUAGUCUGAUAGGGUUUUUACCUAAGAUAGCUAGUGACAUUGUUGUGUCUUACUAUUUCAGUGCAUGACGUAUUUAAUAGCUAUCGCUUUUUUUUGCAGCUUUCUUCUGAAUUUCAUGUUCAUUUUUUUUCUUUUCGUAUUAUUUCUGUGGCGAUACUAAUAUUCUAUGCUUUUGUCCUUUCGUACUAUUGAGCCGAGGGUCUUUCGGAAACAGUCUAUCUACCCCUUCGAGGUAUGGGUAAGAUCUGCGUACACACUACCCUCCCCAGACCCUAUUAGUUGGAUUUCACUGGGUUGUUGUUGUUGUUAUUGUAUAUAUACAACAUGUUCCCACUAAUCUCGUCCAUCUAAUGAUAGAUAAUUUUGUAUGUUAAGUUGCACAAAAUGUCGAUAGAUCGUAACAUUUUCUUUCCUAGCACAUAUAUGUGCGUGUUCCUAUUUGUAAAUAAAAUAUGUUUACUCUUUGUAAAAUAAAGACUAUAAAGUAAAGACAAGUAUAGAGAGAAACUGAUAUAUUAUUCGAUUCAAACUGAUGUACAUAAUGAACUGAAAUCUCUU
Molecule: long non-coding RNA, 4652 nt
Filed under: Nicotiana tabacum (common tobacco)
Lineage: Eukaryota; Viridiplantae; Streptophyta; Magnoliopsida; Solanales; Solanaceae
Description: long non-coding RNA (NTAB_LNC014850)
Source: RNAcentral